UAACACAUGCAAGUCGAGGGGUAACAGGAGUAGCAAUACUCGCUGACGACCGGCGCACGGGUGAGUAACGCGUAUGCAACCUACCUUUAACUGGGGCAUAGCUCCGAGAAAUCGGGAUUAAUACCCCAUAAUGUUACAAUUUCGCAUGUUAUUGUAACUAAAACUCCGUGUGGUUAAAGAUGGGCAUGCGUGUCAUUAGCUUGUUGGUGAGGUAACGGCUCACCAAGGCUACGAUGACUAGGGGGUCUGAGAGGAUGAUCCCCCACACUGGUACUGAGACACGGACCAGACUCCUACGGGAGGCAGCAGUGAGGAAUAUUGGUCAAUGGGCGAAAGCCUGAACCAGCCAUGCCGCGUGCAGGAUGACAGCCCUAUGGGUCGUAAACUGCUUUUAUACGGGAAGAAACCCCUGAUCGUGAUCGGGGCUGACGGUACCGUAAGAAUAAGGAUCGGCUAACUCCGUGCCAGCAGCCGCGGUAAUACGGAGGAUCCUAGCGUUAUCCGGAUUUAUUGGGUUUAAAGGGUGCGUAGGCGGAAUAAUAAGUCAGUGGUGAAAUCCUGCAGCUUAACUGUAGAAUUGCCAUUGAUACUGUUAUUCUUGAAUGCAGUUGAGGUAGGCGGAAUGUGUAAUGUAGCGGUGAAAUGCUUAGAUAUUACCCAGAACACCGAUUGCGUAGGCAGCUUGCUAAACUGUGAUUGACGCUGAGGCACGAAAGCGUGGGUAGCAAACAGGAUUAGAUACCCUGGUAGUCCACGCCGUAAACGAUGAUUACUCGAUGUGUGCAAUAUAUCGUACGCGUCUGAGCGAAAGCACUAAGUAAUCCACCUGGGGAGUACGGCCGCAAGGUUGAAACUCAAAGGAAUUGACGGGGGCCCGCACAAGCGGAGGAACAUGUGGUUUAAUUCGAUGAUACGCGAGGAACCUUACCUGGGCUUAAAUGUAUUCUGACGUUCCGGGAAACUGGAAUUCCCUUCGGGGCAGAUUACAAGGUGCUGCAUGGUUGUCGUCAGCUCGUGCCGUGAGGUGUCGGGUUAAGUCCCAUAACGAGCGCAACCCCUAUUGUUAGUUGCCAGCGGAUAAUGCCGGGGACUCUAACGAAACUGCCAGUGUAAACUGUGAGGAAGGUGGGGAUGACGUCAAAUCAGCACGGCCCUACGUCCAGGGCUACACACGUGUUACAAUGGUCGGUACAAAGGCAGUACCACGCGAGUGGAUGCUAAUCUCCAAAACCGAUCUUAGUUCGGAUUGAAGUCUGCAACUGACUUCAUGAAGCUGGAUUCGUAGUAAUCGCACAUCAGCCAUGGUGCGGUGAUACGUUCCCGGCAUUGUACACACCGCCCGUCAAGCCAUGGAAGCCGGGGGUACAUGAAGUCCGAACCGCAAGGAGCGGCAUAGGGUAAACUGUAACUGGGGCUAAGU
Molecule: ribosomal RNA, 1420 nt
Filed under: uncultured organism
Description: bacterial SSU rRNA
Rfam family: Bacterial small subunit ribosomal RNA
Source: RNAcentral